GACGAACGCUGGCGGCGUGCUUAACACAUGCAAGUCGAGCGGAAAGACCAGGCUUUUGUUCCUUUCACGUUUGCGGCGGACGGGUGAGUCACACGUGUAACACCCCCUUAUCUUACUGGUAAAUUCUCGGGACAGCGGCUCUUACAGCGUAUAAUAUCUUGCACCGUAUUGUUCAAUAGUGAAUUACGGCUUUGCGGUCACUUAUAGCUGGAUCUCGGCCGCAUUAGCUAGUUGGUAAGUUAACGGCCUACCACGGCAACGAUGCGUAGACGACGUGAGAGGGUGGUCGGCCACACUGGAACUGAGACACGGUCCAGACUCCUACGGGAGGCAGCAGUAGGGAAUCUUACGCAGUGGGCGAAAGCCUGACGGAGCAACGCCGCGUGAGUGAUGAAGGUCUUCGGAGCGUAAAAAUCUGUUAUUAGGGAAGAACAAAUGUGUAAGUAACUAUGCACGUCUUGACGGUACCUAAUCAGAAAGCCACGGCUAACUACGUG
This 497-nucleotide ribosomal RNA is filed under the name uncultured bacterium. Its description in RNAcentral is "partial 16S ribosomal RNA". It matches the Rfam family "Bacterial small subunit ribosomal RNA", at positions 28 to 507 of the family's 1533-position model. The record is from RNAcentral.